AUGAAGAAACUGAGGCAAACAGAGGUCAAGUGUCUUGCUCUGAGCCACAUAGGUGAUGCAAAGGAACCUUACACUGAAGGAGAAUCAUCUGCUCCAGCUGUGAUAUCAGCUAUAGGUCCAGAUAUGGAGCUAGCAGUGAAGCUGGAUCUAGAACCAGUUCUGAUGCUAGAUGUGAAAUCUCUGGAGCCAGAGGCAAAACCAAUGAUAUCAGCUAUAAAACAACCGAGACCACUUAAGAAUCCAGCUAUGCCAUCAUUCUUGAAAGCCCUGGACUCAGGCUCAGAACCAAUCAUAAAGAAGCAAGCUACAACACCAUGUGGGAAGGGAAGACCACCUGUAACACAAACUACAAAAUCACAUCAGACACUGGUGGUGAUACCCACUCGAAAGAUACCUGGAGAGUCAACGUCUAUGAAAUCAACUCAGGGGCUAGGUGGGAGAGUGAUACUAAAACCCACUAGAGAAAUACCUGGAGUGUCAACCUCUAUGCAGUCAAUUGUGGGGUCAGGUGGGAGACUGGUGAUAAAACCCACUCGAGAGAUACCUGGAGAGUCAACAUCUACGAAGUCAAUGUCUAUGAAAACAACUCCUGAACCAAGUGGGGAACUGGGGCUAAAAUUCACUUUAGAGAUACCUGGAGAGCAAACGUCUAUUAAGCCAAAGGUGGGGCCAGGUGAGAGAGUGAAGCUAAAACCCACUGGAGAGUUACGUAGAGAGCCAACAUCUAUGAAACCAACUCAGAGGCCAAGUGGGACAGUGACGUUGAAACCCACACCAGAGCUACCUAAGGAGCCAACGUCUAUGAAACCAAUUAAAGAGCUAAACCUGCCUCUGGAAAACCAUGGGAAAUUGAAAGUAUUUGCAGAAAUAGAUAACUCUGUAUUCCAACUUAAACAAGUUGUAAGAGCACAACUUAUGAUGGUAGACACAUUAACAAAGAACAAUUCAAAGUCACAGUCAAACUCUUUGGCAACAGGGAAAUAUGAACCAUUGAAAAACCAAUUAGGGUAUAAAAAUAUGAUUGAAGAUCAAAUUUUGAAAAGUGUUUUAGAGACUAACAAGUUGAUAAAACAUGCUCUUGUGAAUACUAAACAGAACACUGAAUUAAAAAAUAAUGUGGAUUCUACUAAAGAAUCUCUAGUUCCAAACCUUUUUUCAGAAGCAGCAGAUUUAUCACAGAAGAAAUUAAAUAAACCACAGAAAAUAAGAGAAAGUGAUGAUAAUAAAGACAUUGCAUUGUUUAUUAAUUUUUUAUAUGAUAUUAAGGCAGAACUAAGUAUAUAUUUAAAUAUCAAUAAUAUUCCAUUAGAUAUUCGUGAUAAGGCUGCUACUUUAUUCACCAUUAUGGGAGAUAUAUUUUGUAAAAAUGAACAAAGAAGAAGAAUAAUUAAGAUAUUAUUAAAAGAUAAUUUAAGAAUGUUAAACAUACUUAACUCUCUAUUGCAUUAAUGACUAGGUUUUCAGUGACCUAUUCAUUUCUAAGAGAAACAUUUAAAUUUAUUCGCUAAAAUUUUAUAACUGGAUUUUGUAUUGUGUCUAUUAACAUCUAUAAUUUGUCAUGUAAUUUGAAAGAUUUCAAACAAAUAAUUAAAACAUACUAAUUUGAAUACAAUUUGUUUUUAGUAGAGUUUGUGAUGUCAUUUCCAUACCUCCCAAAUUUGUUGCCUUUUGUGUUUAAAAUAUUUCCUUUAUUUUAUGCAUGAGUAGAUUUGCUUAGUUUAAAAUAUACAUUUAUCUAGAUUAACAUUUUAUAAAUUUAUUUUAUAGAAAAGGCAUGUUUUGUGUGGAUUAUAUGUAUACACAUAUAU
Monodelphis domestica (gray short-tailed opossum) is the source of this 1808-nucleotide long non-coding RNA. The record is from Ensembl. NCBI's taxonomy places the organism in Eukaryota, Metazoa, Chordata, Mammalia, Didelphimorphia, Didelphidae.